UACAUAGAAUGCAAGUGUUAUCCGGAAUCACUGGGCGUAAAGCGUCUGUAGGUGGUUUAAUAAGUCAACUGUUAAAUCUUGAAGCUUAACUUCAAAAUCGCAGUCGAAACUAUUAGACUAGAGUAUAGUAGGGGUAAAGGGAAUUUCCAGUGGAGCGGUGAAAUGCGUAGAGAUUGGAAAGAACACCGAUGGCGAAGGCACUUUACUGGGCUAUUACUGACACUCAGAGACGAAAGCUAGGGUAGCAAAUGGG
Molecule: ribosomal RNA, 253 nt
Filed under: uncultured bacterium
Lineage: Bacteria
Description: partial 16S ribosomal RNA
Rfam family: Bacterial small subunit ribosomal RNA
Source: RNAcentral